ACGGAAGGCAGCAGUGAGGAAUAUUGGUCAAUGGAGGCAACUCUGAACCAGCCAUCUCGCGUGAAGGAAUACGGCCCUACGGGUCUUAAACUUCUUUUAUAGGGGGAUAAAGUGAGCCACGUGUGGCUUUUUGUAGGUACCCUAUGAAUAAGCAUCGGCUAACUCCGUGCCAGCAGCCGCGGUAAUACGGAGGAUGCGAGCGUUAUCCGGAUUUAUUGGGUUUAAAGGGUGCGCAGGCGGCACGUUAAGUCAGCGGUGAAAUGUCGGGGCUCAACCCGGGCACUGCCGUUGAAACUGGCGAGCUUGAGUACGGAUGAAGUCGGCGGAAUGUGAUGUGUAGCGGUGAAAUGCUUAGAUAUGUCACAGAACACCGAUUGCGAAGGCAGCUGACCAAUCCGCAACUGACGCUCAGGCACGAAAGCGUGGGGAUCGAACAGGAUUAGAUACCCUGGUA
RNAcentral lists this ribosomal RNA (454 nucleotides) under uncultured Porphyromonas sp. RNAcentral describes it as "partial 16S ribosomal RNA". It matches the Rfam family "Bacterial small subunit ribosomal RNA", at positions 341 to 792 of the family's 1533-position model. The record is from RNAcentral. Lineage: Bacteria; Pseudomonadati; Bacteroidota; Bacteroidia; Bacteroidales; Porphyromonadaceae.